Molecule: long non-coding RNA, 1682 nt
Organism: Mustela erminea (ermine)
Lineage: Eukaryota; Metazoa; Chordata; Mammalia; Carnivora; Mustelidae
Exons: 3
Source: RefSeq, a predicted model, not a curated record
CAGACGCUUAACCAACUGAGCCACUCAGGCAUCCCUGGAAGUUUGUACGUUUUGACCAUCUUCACUCAUCCCUCCACAAUCCCUUGCUCCUGGCAACCACCAGCCUACUCCCUUUUUCUAUGAGUUUGGUUUUAACCACAGACUUUUGAAACCAUAAUCUACAUAUGCUAUGUCUACAUUUGCUAUGUCUUAAAACCAUAAUCUACAUUUCUCGAUUAUCGUCCCUCCUUAGCCCCUUCUCAUCUGACUUCUGCCUCUGUCACUUUAUUUGAAUGUGAGAUUGCUCUCUUCCCCUCUAACAUCAAACCCGUUGCUGUUUGCAGCUCGAAGAGCUAAGUACCUCUUUUCGAAGCACAGCUCCUGGUUUUUAGUUCCGUGUCUGUCUCUUAUCACUGCUUCUUCUUGUCUCCUUCAUAGACUUCUCUCUGCCCACCCGUUAAAUACCCGUGAAGUCAGGAUUCUCUCCCGGUACCCCCUCCUCAUCCUUCUCGCCUCCUUGGCCACCUUACCUUCUCCUAGGACUCCCGUCCACAUGCUGACCACCUCUCCAUUCCCUGCCUCCUCCACCUCUCUCCUAAGCCUGACCCUGAACUGCCAACACCCUUCUAGCAAUUGCCAAGUCACUAUUUACUGUCCUCGGAACUAUCUUCUAUCCAAAAUACCUCAUCUUAAUAAAACAAACAAAAAAUACCCCAUCUGAAGUAGAGGGCCUAAAAUGAAAUCCUCCGUGCCCCAGUGAUACUCUUUUUCUCCUCUAUGUAAGUUUCGAGUCUUUGUUGCUGCAUAACCAUCCCAAAACUUAAUGGCUUAAAAUAACAAUAAUUUAUUAUUUCUCACAAUUCUGUGGGCUCAGCUGGGGCUGGAGUGUUCAAGAUAGCCUCCCUCCCACGUCUGGAGCCUUAGUGCUAGCUGUUGGCUGGUGUACCUAGCUUCUCCUGGUGGUCUCUCCCUCAUGCUUGGUCUCUUAGCCUGUGGUGGUUGAACUUCAACUUUGCAUGGUGCCUGACUUCCAAAGGGGUAUAAGCAGAGGCCACUAGGCCCAUUUAGGCUUGGACCAAAUCGGUACAGUGUCACUUCUAGUGCAUUCUUUUGGUCAAAGCAAAUCACAAAGCCACGGCAGAUUCAAGGGGAGGAGAAACAUACUCCGCCUCCUGGUGGGUGGGGCCGGAGGCCUCUAGAGAGAGAUGGAAGAAAUGGGCCACCAUCUUUGAGGGUAAUCCGCCAUGCUAUAUAAUAGAAAUUGUUCUGCUAACUCUUACAUGACAUUCACCAUGUGCCAGGCAGUGGCUGAACAUUUACAUGUAUUAUCUUAUUUAGUCUUAACAUUCCUGCGAGGUAGGAACUACUGCUGUCUCCAUUUAACAGACGAACAAUUGAAGAAAUGACAGUGAUUUCCUCAGGACCAAGACCUAGCAAGUGGCAGAGCUAAGAUUUGAAUCGAGCCAUCCUGGUUCCCAAGUCCAAGCUUUUAACACCACCUGACUGUGCUCCCAACGCCACAUCGGAUUGUUGUGAUGUUAAGUAAUGUGUGGGAAAAGUACCAACUAUUGGGCAGACCUAUGGUAGACUGUCAGCUAUUGCCAGGUCUCUUUCUGCCUGCCAGUUGCUGGACCUUUGUGCCAGAACAUUUUUCAGUCCUCAAGGUUACAGUCAAAAAAGUUUGAGAAGAUGGUUUUGUUGGG